This 229-nucleotide ribosomal RNA is filed under the name uncultured bacterium. RNAcentral's name for it is "partial 16S ribosomal RNA". It matches the Rfam family "Bacterial small subunit ribosomal RNA", at positions 568 to 796 of the family's 1533-position model. The record is from RNAcentral.
UUCGUAGGCGGGCUGAUAAGUCAGAGGUGAAAGCCAACGGCUCAACCGUUGAAUUGCCUCUGAUACUGUCAGUCUUGAGUCCGUCAGGGGAUGGUGGAAUUCCUGGUGUAGCGGUGAAAUGCGUAAAUAUCAGGAGGAACACCGGUGGCGAAGGCGGCCAUCUGGGACGGUACUGACGCUGAGGAACGAAAGCAUGGGUAUCAAACAGGAUUAGAUACCCUGGUAGUCC